Molecule: ribosomal RNA, 468 nt
Filed under: uncultured bacterium
Lineage: Bacteria
Description: partial 16S ribosomal RNA
Rfam family: Bacterial small subunit ribosomal RNA
Source: RNAcentral
GACGAACGCUGGCGGCGUGCUUAACACAUGCAAGUCGAACGGAAAGGCCCUGCUUUUGUGGGGUGCUCGAGUGGCGAACGGGUGAGUAACACGUGAGUAACCUGCCCUCGACUUUGGGAUAACUUCAGGAAACUGGGGCUAAUACCGGAUAGGAGCUCCUGCUGCAUGGUGGGGGUUGGAAAGUUUCGGCGGUUGGGGAUGGACUCGCGGCGUGUCAGCUUGUUGGUGGGGUUGUGGCUUACCAAGGCUUUGACGGGUAGCCGGCCUGAGAGGGUGAGCGGCCACAUCGGGACUGCGAUGCGGCGCAGCCGCGUACGGGAGGGAGCAGUGGGGAAUAUUGCGCAGUAGGCGGAAGGCUGAUGCAGCGGCGCCGCGUGCGUGAUGACGGCCUUCGGGUUGUAAACCGCUUUCGCCUGUGACGAAGCGUGAGUGACGGUAGUGGGUAAAGAAGCGCCGGCUAACUACGUG